CCUACGGGGGGCUGCAGUGGGGAAUAUUGCACAAUGGGCGCAAGCCUGAUGCAGCCAUGCCGCGUGUGUGAAGAAGGCCUUCGGGUUGUAAAGCACUUUCAGCGGGGAGGAAGGCGGUGAGGUUAAUAACCUCAUCGAUUGACGUUACCCGCAGAAGAAGCCCCGGCUAACUCCGUGCCAGCAGCCGCGGUAACACGGAGGGUGCAAGCGUUAAUCGGAAUUACUGGGCGUAAAGCGCACGCAGGCGGUCUGUCAAGUCGGAUGUGAAAUCCCCGGGCUCAACCUGGGAACUGCAUUCGAAACUGGCAGGCUAGAGUCUUGUAGAGGGGGGUAGAAUUCCAGGUGUAGCGGUGAAAUGCGUAGAGAUCUGGAGGAAUACCGGUGGCGAAGGCGGCCCCCUGGACAAAGACUGACGCUCAGGUGCGAAAGCGUGGGGAGCAAACAGGAUUAGAUACCCUAGUAGUC
This 465-nucleotide ribosomal RNA is filed under the name uncultured Klebsiella sp. RNAcentral describes it as "bacterial SSU rRNA". It matches the Rfam family "Bacterial small subunit ribosomal RNA", at positions 338 to 795 of the family's 1533-position model. The record is from RNAcentral. Lineage: Bacteria; Pseudomonadati; Pseudomonadota; Gammaproteobacteria; Enterobacterales; Enterobacteriaceae.